RNAcentral lists this ribosomal RNA (520 nucleotides) under uncultured bacterium. Its description in RNAcentral is "bacterial SSU rRNA". It matches the Rfam family "Bacterial small subunit ribosomal RNA", at positions 988 to 1509 of the family's 1533-position model. The record is from RNAcentral.
CCAGAGAACUUAGCAGAGAUGCUUGGUGCCUUCGGGAACUCUGAGACAGGUGCUGCAUGGCUGUCGUCAGCUCGUGUUGUGAAAUGUUGGGUUAAGUCCCGCAACGAGCGCAACCCUUAUCCUUUGUUGCCAGCGGUCCGGCCGGGAACUCAAAGGAGACUGCCAGUGAUAAACUGGAGGAAGGUGGGGAUGACGUCAAGUCAUCAUGGCCCUUACGAGUAGGGCUACACACGUGCUACAAUGGCGCAUACAAAGAGAAGCGACCUCGCGAGAGCAAGCGGACCUCAUAAAGUGCGUCGUAGUCCGGAUUGGAGUCUGCAACUCGACUCCAUGAAGUCGGAAUCGCUAGUAAUCGUAGAUCAGAAUGCUACGGUGAAUACGUUCCCGGGCCUUGUACACACCGCCCGUCACACCAUGGGAGUGGGUUGCGAAAGAAGUAGGUAGCUUAACCUUCGGGAGGGCGCUUACCACUUUGUGAUUCAUGACUGGGGUAAAGUCGUAACAAGGUAAGCGUAGCGAG